UACGGAGGGUGCGAGCGUUGUCCGGAAUCACUGGGCGUAAAGGCGCGUAGGCGGCCUGAUAAGUAGGGGUGAAAUCUUGCGGCUUAACCGCAAGGCUGCCUUCUAAACUGUCAGGCUAGAGCACAGUAGAGGCAGGUGGAAUUCCCGGUGUAGCGGUGGAAUGCGUAGAGAUCGGGAAGAACAUCAGUGGCGAAGGCGGCCUGCUGGGCUGUUGCUGACGCUGAGGCGCGACAGCGUGGGG
RNAcentral lists this ribosomal RNA (241 nucleotides) under uncultured bacterium. RNAcentral's name for it is "partial 16S ribosomal RNA". It matches the Rfam family "Bacterial small subunit ribosomal RNA", at positions 524 to 766 of the family's 1533-position model. The record is from RNAcentral.